RNAcentral lists this ribosomal RNA (253 nucleotides) under uncultured bacterium. Its description in RNAcentral is "partial 16S ribosomal RNA". It matches the Rfam family "Bacterial small subunit ribosomal RNA", at positions 524 to 776 of the family's 1533-position model. The record is from RNAcentral.
UACGUAGGGUGCGAGCGUUGUCCGGAAUUACUGGGCGUAAAGGGCUUGUAGGUGGUUUGUCGCGUUGUUCGUGAAAACCGGGGGCUUAACUCUCGGCGUGCGGGCGAUACGGGCAGACUAGAGUACUGCAGGGGAGACUGGAAUUCCUGGUGUAGCGGUGGAAUGCGCAGAUAUCAGGAGGAACACCGGUGGCGAAGGCGGGUCUCUGGGCAGUAACUGACGCUGAGGAGCGAAAGCGUGGGGAGCGAACAGG